This 498-nucleotide ribosomal RNA is filed under the name uncultured bacterium. RNAcentral's name for it is "partial 16S ribosomal RNA". It matches the Rfam family "Bacterial small subunit ribosomal RNA", at positions 29 to 523 of the family's 1533-position model. The record is from RNAcentral.
AACGAACGCUGGCGGCAGGCCUAAUACAUGCAAGUCGAACGAGAUUGUUGUAGCAAUAUGACAUGAAAGUGGCGCACGGGUGCGUAACACGUAUGCAAUCUACCUUUGAUAGGGGAAUAGCUUCGAGAAAUCGGAAUUAAUGCCCCAUAACAUAUUUGAGUGGCAUCACUCGAUUAUCAAACCUCCGGGGAUCAAAGAUGAGCAUGCGCAACAUUAGCUAGUUGGUGAGGUAAUGGCUCACCAAGGCUACGAUGUUUAGGGGGUCUGAGAGGAUGAUCCCCCACACUGGUACUGAGACACGGACCAGACUCCUACGGGAGGCAGCAGUAGGGAAUAUUGGUCAAUGGAGGCAACUCUGAACCAGCCAUGCCGCGUUCAGGAUGACGGCCCUCUGGGUUGUAAACUGCUUUUAUACGGGAAGAAAAAGAGCUACGUGUAGCUUAUUGACGGUACCGUAAGAAUAAGGAUCGGCUAACUCCGUGCCAGCCGCCGCGGUAA